This is a long non-coding RNA of Engraulis encrasicolus (European anchovy), 311 nucleotides long. RefSeq lists it as uncharacterized. NCBI's taxonomy places the organism in Eukaryota, Metazoa, Chordata, Actinopteri, Clupeiformes, Engraulidae. The record is from RefSeq and is a predicted model, not a curated record. The transcript is spliced from 3 exons.
AGUGACGAGGACAAUGUCUCCACCACAGGAGGACCCAACUACAUUGAGGUGAUUCCUGAGUCGGCUCCUCCAGUUACCCCAACUGUUGUUCCUGGCUCCAUGCAGAGUCUCUGCUCUUCACAAACCUCCAAAGAGUACGUAAACCAAAGUCCCAUGACGACACGGGUAGUUGAUGAUGGUGUGAUACCAAAUGGCGGAGGGACGGAGGAGGAGGAGAGUGAUGAUGACAGCCUUUACCAGAACAAUGACCCUGAGCCCACAGAAACCGAUAGCCUGACGGUGACGAUUGAGCUGAGGUACGAUGACGGUGA